AUUGUAUUUGGUGAGAGAGAGUGAAGGUGGUGUUUGAUACGUGGUAUGAGGAAACUUAGUCAACUUGCGUGUAUUAAAUGAUGAAUUUGACUCAAAUUGAGUUCUUCACUUUGAGCAAUGCCUUCUCUCUACCCUCUACCUUGUUUUCGUCGUUGUAUGUUUGAUUUGGAAGUGUUUUAACAUUCCCGACGCAGAGAGCUUCAAAAUGGACCGAACAAUUCUUUGUUUCAGCGGGGCACUGCUUAGAUUCUUCUCCGGGAAGGACACUGUAGAAUCAAGUUGUGAGCUUAACUGUUCAACACUCCAGAUGUCGCAGAGAUGCCCCUGGAACAAGCAUUGAAGCAAUAUGACGCUGCAACUUGGCCUCCUUAGGACUUUCAUUUACUUUAGUGUCAUUUUGAAAACUUUAAUAUAUAGAAGUUUUAAAUUUUAGUGUCCUUAGGAAGAUGACUGUAAUCCUAAUUACUGACGUCUUUAUAAAUAUAUACUGCUAUAUAUUUGGGAUGCCACAUAUAUUACA
Vigna radiata var. radiata (mung bean) is the source of this 520-nucleotide long non-coding RNA. RefSeq lists it as uncharacterized. Lineage: Eukaryota; Viridiplantae; Streptophyta; Magnoliopsida; Fabales; Fabaceae. The transcript has 4 exons. The record is from RefSeq and is a predicted model, not a curated record.